ACUCAAAGGAAUUGACGGGGGCCCGCACAAGCGGCGGAGCAUGUUGCUUAAUUCGAGGCAACGCGAAGAACCUUACCUGGGUUUGACAUUCUGGGAAAAGCCACAGAGAUGUGGUGUCCGAAAGGGUCCAGAACAGGUGGUGCAUGGCUGUCGUCAGCUCGUGUCGUGAGAUGUUGGGUUAAGUCCCGCAACGAGCGCAACCCUUGUCCUAUGUUGCCAGCGGGUAAUGCCGGGGACUCGUAGGAGACUGCCGGGGUCAACUCGGAGGAAGGUGGGGACGACGUCAAGUCAUCAUGCCCCUUAUGUCCAGGGCUGCAAACAUGCUACAAUGGCCGGUACAAAGGGCUGCUAUACCGCGAGGUUGAGCGAAUCCCAAAAAGCCGGUCUCAGUUCGGAUUGGAGUCUGCAACUCGACUCCAUGAAGUCGGAGUCGCUAGUAAUCCCGGAUCAGCAACGCCGGGGUGAAUACGUUCCCGGGCCUUGUACACACCGCCCGU
RNAcentral lists this ribosomal RNA (497 nucleotides) under uncultured bacterium. Its description in RNAcentral is "partial 16S ribosomal RNA". It matches the Rfam family "Bacterial small subunit ribosomal RNA", at positions 899 to 1397 of the family's 1533-position model. The record is from RNAcentral.